UACGUAGGGUGCAAGCGUUAUCCGGAAUUAUUGGGCGUAAAGCGUUUGUAGGCGGUUAAGUAAGUUUGUGGUUAAAUCCGGUCGCUCAACGAUCGAUCCGCCACAAAAACUGCUCAACUAGAGAUCAGCAGAGGCAACUGGAAUGUCGCAUGUAGGGGUAAAAUCCGUUGAUAUGCGAUGGAACACCAAAAGCGAAGGCAGGUUGCUGGGCUGUUUCUGACGCUGAGAAACGAAAGCGUGGGGAGCAAACAGG
Molecule: ribosomal RNA, 253 nt
Filed under: uncultured bacterium
Lineage: Bacteria
Description: partial 16S ribosomal RNA
Rfam family: Bacterial small subunit ribosomal RNA
Source: RNAcentral